This 250-nucleotide ribosomal RNA is filed under the name uncultured bacterium. RNAcentral's name for it is "partial 16S ribosomal RNA". It matches the Rfam family "Bacterial small subunit ribosomal RNA", at positions 524 to 773 of the family's 1533-position model. The record is from RNAcentral.
UACGUAGGGUGCGAGCGUUAAUCGGAAUUACUGGGCGUAAAGCGUGCGCAGGCGGCGCCAUAAGACAGAUGUGAAAUCCCCGGGCUUAACCUGGGAAUUGCGUUUGAAACUACAAGGCUAGAGUGCAGCAGAGGGGAGUGGAAUUCCAUGUGUAGCAGUGAAAUGCGUAGAGAUGUGGAAGAACACCGAUGGCGAAGGCAGCUCCCUGGGUUGACACUGACGCUCAUGCACGAAAGCGUGGGGAGCAAAC